This 508-nucleotide ribosomal RNA is filed under the name uncultured bacterium. RNAcentral describes it as "partial 16S ribosomal RNA". It matches the Rfam family "Bacterial small subunit ribosomal RNA", at positions 28 to 507 of the family's 1533-position model. The record is from RNAcentral.
GACGAACGCUGGCGGUGUGCCUAAUACAUGCAAGUCGAACGCUUCUUUCCUCCCGAGUGCUUGCACUCAAUUGGAAAGAGGAGUGGCGGACGGGUGAGUAACACGUGGGUAACCUACCCAUCAGAGGGGGAUAACACUUGGAAACAGGUGCUAAUACCGCAUAACAGUUUAUGCCGCAUGGCAUAAGAGUGAAAGGCGUUUUCGGGUGUCGCUGAUGGAUGGAUCCGCGGUGCAUUAGCUAGUUGGUGAGGUAACGGCUCACCAAGGCCACGAUGCAUAGCCGACCUGAGAGGGUGAUCGGCCACACUGGGACUGAGACACGGCCCAGACUCCUACGGGAGGCAGCAGUAGGGAAUCUUCGGCAAUGGACGAAAGUCUGACCGAGCAACGCCGCGUGAGUGAAGAAGGUUUUCGGAUCGUAAAACUCUGUUGUUAGAGAAGAACAAGGACGUUAGUAACUGAACGUCCCCUGACGGUAUCUAACCAGAAAGCCACGGCUAACUACGUG